RNAcentral lists this ribosomal RNA (254 nucleotides) under uncultured bacterium. RNAcentral describes it as "partial 16S ribosomal RNA". It matches the Rfam family "Bacterial small subunit ribosomal RNA", at positions 524 to 776 of the family's 1533-position model. The record is from RNAcentral.
UACGGGGGGAGCAAGCGUUGUUCGGAUUUACUGGGCGUAAAGGGCGCGUAGGCGGUCAGCACAAGUCAGUUGUGAAAUCUCCGGGCUUAACUCGGAAAGGUCAACUGAUACUGUGCGACUAGAGUGCAGAAAGGGCAACCGGAAUUCUUGGUGUAGCGGUGAAAUGCGUAGAUAUCAAGAGGAACACCUGAGGCGAAGGCGGGUUGCUAGGCUGACACUGACGCUGAGGCGCGAAAGCGUGGGGAGCAAACAGG